Molecule: ribosomal RNA, 253 nt
Filed under: uncultured bacterium
Lineage: Bacteria
Description: partial 16S ribosomal RNA
Rfam family: Bacterial small subunit ribosomal RNA
Source: RNAcentral
UACGUAGGGUGCAAGCGUUGUCCGGAAUUAUUGGGCGUAAAGAGCUCGUAGGCGGUUUGUCGCGUCUGCUGUGAAAACCGGAGGCUCAACCUCCGGCCUGCAGUGGGUACGGGCAGACUAGAGUGCGGUAGGGGAGAUUGGAAUUCCUGGUGUAGCGGUGAAAUGCGCAGAUAUCAGGAGGAACACCGGUGGCGAAGGCGGGUCUCUGGGCCGUAACUGACGCUGAGGAGCGAAAGCGUGGGGAGCGAACAGG